AGGGAUAUAGCCAAGUCGGUAAGGCACCGGAUUUUGAUUCCGGCAUGCGUAGGUUCGAGUCCUGCUAUCCCUGCCA
Molecule: transfer RNA, 76 nt
Filed under: Bacillota bacterium
Lineage: Bacteria; Bacillati; Bacillota
Description: tRNA-Gln
Rfam family: tRNA
About the family: Transfer RNA (tRNA) molecules are approximately 80 nucleotides in length.
Source: RNAcentral